RNAcentral lists this ribosomal RNA (956 nucleotides) under uncultured bacterium. RNAcentral's name for it is "bacterial SSU rRNA". It matches the Rfam family "Bacterial small subunit ribosomal RNA", at positions 8 to 963 of the family's 1533-position model. The record is from RNAcentral.
AGAGUUUGAUCAUGGCUCAGAGCGAACGCUGGCGGCGUGCUUAACACAUGCAAGUCGAACGCGCAGCAUUCUGUAGCAAUACAGGGUGUGGGCGCGUGGCGAACGGGUGCGUAACACGUGGAUAACCUUCCUUCAGGUGGGGAAUAACCCAGUGAAAAUUGGGCUAAUACCGCAUAAUAAAACGAUGAGACAUCUUGUUGUUUUCAAAGGCGCAAGUCGCCAGAAGAGGGAUCCGCGGCCGAUUAGCUUGUUGGCGGGGUAACGGCCCACCAAGGCAUUGAUCGGUAGCCGGACUGAGAGGUUGGCCGGCCACACUGGAACUGAGACACGGUCCAGACUCCUACGGGAGGCAGCAGUGGGGAAUCUUGCACAAUGGGCGAAAGCCUGAUGCAGCAACGCCGCGUGGGGGACGAAGCUUCUCGGAGUGUAAACCCCUUUCGACCCGGAAGAAAGCCCGCAAGGGUUUGACGGUACGGGUAUAAGAAGCCCCGGCUAACUACGUGCCAGCAGCCGCGGUAAAACGUAGGGGGCCAGCGUUGCUCGGAAUUACUGGGCGUAAAGGGUCCGUAGGCGGUGUGGCAAGUCGGUAGUGAAAUCUCUAGGCUUAACCUAGAGGCUGCUGCCGAAACUGCCGUGCUAGAGUGUGAGAGAGGCGAGUGGAAUUACGGGUGUAGCGGUGAAAUGCGUAGAUAUCCGUAGGAACAUCCGAGGCGAAAGCGGCUCGCUGGAUCACAACUGACGCUGAGGGACGAAAGCUAGGGGAGCAAACAGGAUUAGAUACCCUGGUAGUCCUAGCCCUAAACCAUCACGACUUGGGGUGUGCCCUGUACGGGGCACGUCCCGUAGCUAACGCGUUAAGUCCUGCGCCUGGGGAGUACGGUCGCAAGGCUGAACUCAAAGGAAUGACGGGGCCCGCACAAGCGGUGGAACAUGUGGUUUCAAUUCGACGCAACGCG